UACGUAGGGGGCAAGCGUUGUCCGGAGUUACUGGGCGUAAAGCGCACGCAGGCGGUCGCUUAAGUUUGGAGUGACAGUUGGUGGCUUAACUGCCAAAGUGCUUCGAAAACUGAUCGACUUGAGGGCUUCAGAGGGACACGGAAUUCCGGGUAGAGUGGUGAAAUGCGUAGAGAUCCGGAGGAACACCGAAGGCGAAGGCAGUGUCCUGGGGAGUACCUGACGCUCAGGUGCGAAAGCGUGGGGAGCAAACAGG
Molecule: ribosomal RNA, 253 nt
Filed under: uncultured bacterium
Lineage: Bacteria
Description: partial 16S ribosomal RNA
Rfam family: Bacterial small subunit ribosomal RNA
Source: RNAcentral